Molecule: long non-coding RNA, 528 nt
Filed under: Equus caballus (horse)
Lineage: Eukaryota; Metazoa; Chordata; Mammalia; Perissodactyla; Equidae
Description: lncRNA (ENSECAG00000051373.1)
Source: RNAcentral
CAAGGCUGGACUCUGAGCCUUGGCCAACUGUCCACGGAAGGAUGUCACCUUUUGACUCUAACAGAACUUCACUGAAAAGAGGCGGAGAAAUGUAAGAAAAUUGCCCCAAGUCCCAAGCAGGCAAAGGACAGAGCUGGGGCACUUUCCAGCACACUAAUGGCAGGUACUGAGAAACUACAAGCCCAGAGACAUUAACUAACAUGCCUAAAGAGACACGGCCGGUGAGCCACAGAGCUGGAAUGAGAACAGACUGCCUGGACUCCCAGUCCAGUGCUCCCGCCACUAAACCACACAGAUCAACAGUGAACGUGCGGGUCGACCAGAGGCACUGAUGUGCAGAAUGGAACAGGGAAAGAUGACGCCCCAGACUCAGUGGUUCUUUGGGUGCAUAACAUCAACGGAGGUGUGUGUGUUAAGAGGACAGUGAAAUGUUCUUGGGCAGGUCACUGGGGAGAUGUAGAGCAAGGUAGUUGGGAGUGGCUGGCUCUGAUGUGAGACCACUGAGAACCAAAUCUUGAUCCCCUUAUU